RNAcentral lists this ribosomal RNA (253 nucleotides) under uncultured bacterium. RNAcentral's name for it is "partial 16S ribosomal RNA". It matches the Rfam family "Bacterial small subunit ribosomal RNA", at positions 524 to 776 of the family's 1533-position model. The record is from RNAcentral.
UACGAAGGGGGCUAGCGUUGCUCGGAAUUACUGGGCGUAAAGCGCACGUAGGCGGCUUUCUAAGUCGGGGGUGAAAUCCUGGAGCUCAACUCCAGAACUGCCUUCGAUACUGGAGAGCUCGAGUCCGGGAGAGGUGAGUGGAACUGCGAGUGUAGAGGUGAAAUUCGUAGAUAUUCGCAAGAACACCAGUGGCGAAGGCGGCUCACUGGCCCGAUACUGACGCUGAGGCGCGAAAGCUCGGGGAGCGAACGGG